CGACCGCUGGCGGCGUGCUUACCACAUGCAAGUCGAACGGAAAGGCCCUGCUUGCAGGGUACUCGAGUGGCGAACGGGUGAGUAACACGUGGGUGAUCUGCCCUGCACUUCGGGAUAAGCCUGGGAAACUGGGUCUAAUACCGGAUAGGAGCCAUUUUUAGUGUGAUGGUUGGAAAGUUUUUUCGGUGUAGGAUGAGCUCGCGGCCUAUCAGCUUGUUGGUGGGGUAAUGGCCUACCAAGGCGGCGACGGGUAGCCGGCCUGAGAGGGUGGACGGCCACAUUGGGACUGAGAUACGGCCCAGACUCCUACGGGAGGCAGCAGGGGGGAAUAUUGCACAAUGGGCGCAAGCCUGAUGCAGCGACGCCGCGUGGGGGAUGACGGCCUUCGGGUUGUAAACUCCUUUCGCUAGGGACGAAGCUUUUUGUGACGGUACCUAGAUAAGAAGCACCGGCUAACUACGUG
RNAcentral lists this ribosomal RNA (463 nucleotides) under uncultured bacterium. RNAcentral describes it as "partial 16S ribosomal RNA". It matches the Rfam family "Bacterial small subunit ribosomal RNA", at positions 30 to 507 of the family's 1533-position model. The record is from RNAcentral.